UACGUCCAUAGCAUGAAACACCAGUUCCCGUACGAUCACCGAUGUUAAGCAACGUCGAGACUGGUCAGUACCUAGAUGGGUAACCGCUUGAGAUUACCAGUGGCCGA
Molecule: non-coding RNA, 107 nt
Organism: Acanthosepion pharaonis
Lineage: Eukaryota; Metazoa; Mollusca; Cephalopoda; Sepiida; Sepiidae
Source: the annotation of a GenBank genome assembly